Molecule: long non-coding RNA, 243 nt
Filed under: Mytilus galloprovincialis (Mediterranean mussel)
Lineage: Eukaryota; Metazoa; Mollusca; Bivalvia; Mytilida; Mytilidae
Source: RNAcentral
CUUUUCUUUUUUAUCCUGUCGAAUUGCUAUGAGAAUAUACAAGCUUCCUCUUAAAGUUUGUUCUGUUUGUCAAUCCCAAGUUCUGCCUGUUUUUCUUUACAUUUAGAUGCCUAAGUUCUCACAGAUUGAAUUUCUUGCAAAUUGUUCUUUGAACAAGAAAAACCACACAAAACAGUUGUUCCAUAAUCUACUUCACCAUUUGCUUUAAAUGUAUCACAAAUAACAUGCUUGUAGAUUUACAAA